UUAAGAUACUAAGAGCAUACGGUGGAUGCCUUGGCGAUAUCUGCCGACGAAGGACGUGACAAGCUGCGAAAAGCUGCGGAGAGAUGCAAAUAAUCGGCGACCCGCAGACAUCCGAAUGGAGAAAUCCGGCUGUGAUGAUGCACAGCCAUCCAUGCCCAAGAGCAUGAGAAGGGAACCGGGCGAACUGAAACAUCUAAGUAACCCGAGGAAAAGAAAUCAAACGAGAUACCCCAAGUAGCGGCGAGCGAACAGGGAAAAAGCCCAAACCGGUGAAGGAAACUUUACCGGGGUUGAGGACCAUCAGACCCGCGAAGAACCUUAGCCGAAACUGUUGGGAAACAGUGCCGAAGACAGUGAAAGCCUGGUAGGCGAAAAAGAGAAACGCGGAGAUGGCACCAGAGUACCGCGGGACACGAGAAAUCCCGUGGGAAGCAGGGGGGACCACCCUCCAAGGCAAAACACAGAUAUCGACCGAUAGCGCAUAGUACCAUGAGGGAAAGGUGAAAAGCACCCCGGGAGGGGAAUGAAAGAGAACCUGAAACCGUAUGUUUACAAGCAGUCGGAGACCGCUUAAUAAUAAGGUCGACGGCGUGCCUAUUGAAGAAUGAACCGGCGAGUUACGAAGCCUGGCAAGGUUAAGCAGGAAAUGCGGAGCCGAAGCGAAAGCGAGUCUUAAGAGGGCGCAAGUCAGGAAGCGUAGACCCGAAACCACAGUGAUCUACCCAUGUCCAGGUUGAAACACAGGUAAAAAUGUGUGGAGGACCGAACCUAUAUCCGUUGAAAAGGGUUAGGAUGAGGUGUGGGUAGGGGUGAAAUUCCAAUCGAACGUGGAGAUAGCUGGUUCUCCCCGAAAUAGCUUUAGGGCUAGCCUCAGGGAAAAGAUUGCAGGCGGUAGAGCACUGAUCAGGAGAGGGACCUACCCGGUUACCAAACCCAGUCAAACUCCGAAUGGCUGCAAUCAUACCUGGGAGUCAGACUGCGACUAAUAAGGGCCGCAGUCAAAAGGGAAACAGCCCAGACCAUCAGCUAAGGUCCCCAAUGCCGUGCUAAGUGGAAAAGGAUGUGGCAUUUCAUAAACAACCAGGAUGUUGGCUCAGAAGCAGCCACCAUUUAAAGAGUGCGUAAUAGCUCACUGGUCGAGAGACGCUGCGCCGAAAAUGUCCGGGGCUCAAGCACGGAACCGAAGCUAUGGCAUGAUAGCAAUAUCAUGGGUAGGGGAGCGUUCUUAUAAGGAAGAAGCAUGACCGGAAGGACAUGUGGACAAAUAAGAAGUGAGAAUGCCGGUAUGAGUAUCGAAAAGAAAGGUGAGAAUCCUUUCCACCGAAAGCCCGAGGGUUCCUGAGCAACGAUCGUCGACUCAGGGUAAGUCGGGACCUAAGCCGAGGCGGAAAGCGUAGGCGAUGGACAACAGGUUGAAAUUCCUGUACCGGAUCAAGUCGAUCGAGCGAAGGAGCGACGCAGGAGGGCACAUGAUCGCGCGGCUGGAAGAGCGCGUCCAAGUGCGUAUGUUGCUGCAGAGGAAAACCCCUGCGGCUGAAAGCAGAGACAUGAUGGGGAGUUAAAGGAAACUUUGACGAACUCAUGGAUCCCACACUGCCAAGAAAAACUUCUAGCGAGACAAGAUCCGCCCGUACCGUAAACCGACACAGGUAGGCGGGGAGAGAAUCCUAAGGUGCGCGGGAAAACCCUCGUUAAGGAACUCGGCAAAUUGCAUCCGUAACCUAGGGAGAAGGAUGGCCCCCGGUCAGUGAAGAGCAGAAACGCUCAGAGCUAAAAGGGGCGGCAGAAAAGAGGCCCAAGCAACUGUUUACCAAAAACACAGGUGCCUGCGAAAGCGAAAGCUGAAGUAUAGGUGCUGACGCCUGCCCGGUGCCGGAAGGUUAAGGAGAGAAGUUAGCGAAAGCGAAGCAUCGAACUGAAGCCCCGGUGAACGGCGGCCGUAACUAUAACGGUCCUAAGGUAGCGAAAUUCCUUGUCAGGU
This 1981-nucleotide ribosomal RNA is filed under the name human gut metagenome. RNAcentral's name for it is "bacterial LSU rRNA". It matches the Rfam family "Bacterial large subunit ribosomal RNA", at positions 1 to 1977 of the family's 2925-position model. The record is from RNAcentral.